This 251-nucleotide long non-coding RNA is filed under the name Ananas comosus (pineapple). Its description in RNAcentral is "long non-coding RNA (ACOM_LNC011207)". The record is from RNAcentral. Lineage: Eukaryota; Viridiplantae; Streptophyta; Magnoliopsida; Poales; Bromeliaceae.
GUAAUGUUUCUAUACUUUUUUUUUUUUUUGUUACCGUUCAUUCACGCGUAUUCGACGGCUCCGAUUUAGUUUUUUUAAAAUUGUGACCUGCAAUAGCAGGUCACUUUGGGAGAGAUACCGGUUACCAGGUACCUCAAAAAAGGAUAUUUUUGUCUUUUAAUAUAUGGACAAUUUAGUCAUUUUAUAUCUACUAUAUUUUCAAUUUUUUUAUUUUUUCUUUGUUUCCUUUUUCUCUCUCUAUCUUUCUUUUC